RNAcentral lists this ribosomal RNA (520 nucleotides) under uncultured bacterium. RNAcentral's name for it is "bacterial SSU rRNA". It matches the Rfam family "Bacterial small subunit ribosomal RNA", at positions 8 to 518 of the family's 1533-position model. The record is from RNAcentral.
AGAGUUUGAUAUGGCUCAGGAUGAACGCUAAGCUACAGGCUUAACACAUGCAAGUCGAGGGGCAGCAUUGGAGUAGCAAUACUCAGAUGGCGACCGGCGCACGGGUGGGUAACACGUAUCCAACCGUGCCGCUUACUCGGGGAUAGCCUUUCGAAAGAAAGAUUAAUACCCGAUGGUAUAAAGAGUUCGCAUGUUCUCUUUAUUAAAGAAUUUCGGUAAGCGAUGGGGAUGCGUUCCAUUAGAUAGUUGGCGGGGUAACGGCCCACCAAGUCUACGAUGGAUAGGGGUUCUGAGAGGAAGGUCCCCCACAUUGGAACUGAGACACGGUCCAAACUCCUACGGGAGGCAGCAGUGAGGAAUAUUGGUCAAUGGACGAGAGUCUGAACCAGCCAAAAGUAGCGUGAAGGAUGACUGCCCUAUGGGUUGUAAACUUCUUUUAUAAGGGAAUAAAGUGAGGGACGUGUCCCUUUUUGUAUGUACCUUAUGAAUAAGGAUCGGCUAACUCCGUGCCAGCCGCCGC